RNAcentral lists this ribosomal RNA (449 nucleotides) under uncultured bacterium. Its description in RNAcentral is "partial 16S ribosomal RNA". It matches the Rfam family "Bacterial small subunit ribosomal RNA", at positions 29 to 523 of the family's 1533-position model. The record is from RNAcentral.
AACGAACGCUGGCGGCAUGCCUAACACAUGCAAGUCGAACGAGACCUUCGGGUCUAGUGGCGCACGGGUGCGUAACGCGUGGGAAUCUACCCUUGGGUUCGGAAUAACAGUUAGAAAUGACUGCUAAUACCGGAUGAUGACGUAAGUCCAAAGAUUUAUCGCCCAAGGAUGAGCCCGCGUAAGAUUAGCUUGUUGGUGGAGUAAUGGCCUACCAAGGCGACGAUCUUUAGCUGGUCUGAGAGGAUGAUCAGCCACACUGGGACUGAGACGCGGCCCGGACUCCUACGGGAGGCAGCAGUGGGGAAUAUUGGACAAUGGGCGAAGGCCUGAUCCAGCAAUGCCGCGUGAGUGAUGAAGGCCUUAGGGUUGUAAAGCUCUUUUACCAGGGAUGAUAAUGACAGUACCUGGAGAAUAAGCUCCGGCUAACUCCGUGCCAGCAGCCGCAGUAA